This is a long non-coding RNA of Ipomoea nil (Japanese morning glory), 187 nucleotides long. RefSeq lists it as uncharacterized. The transcript is spliced from 3 exons. Lineage: Eukaryota; Viridiplantae; Streptophyta; Magnoliopsida; Solanales; Convolvulaceae. The record is from RefSeq and is a predicted model, not a curated record.
CAUCCGAUCUCGGACUUUCCAUAGCAGUGAUAUCCAUAUUUCUAAGUUAUUUAGUAAUUCCUUUUGGUUAUAAGCUUGUUUUAGCCGAUCUUAGUAUUGGGGUUUUUUUCUGGAUCGCCGCUUCAAGUAUUGCUCCCGUUUGACUUCUUAUGUCCGGAUAUGGAUCAAAUAAUAAAUAUUCCUUUUU